GCUGUCCUAGUUUAUUAAAAUGUUGUGUUGUGGCCGCAGAGAUAGACUUUGUCUGGAUGGUA
RNAcentral lists this transfer RNA (62 nucleotides) under Bankia sp. TBF03. Its description in RNAcentral is "tRNA-His". RNAcentral also lists the same sequence under 1 other name. Lineage: Eukaryota; Metazoa; Mollusca; Bivalvia; Myida; Teredinidae. The record is from RNAcentral.